GGCGAGGGGAGUGAAUAAGAACCUGAAACCGUGUACGUACAAGCAGUGGGAGCACAGGUUUACCUGUGUGACUGCGUACCUUUUGUAUAAUGGGUCAGCGACUUAUAUUCUGUAGCAAGGUUAACCGAAUAGGGGAGCCGGAGGGAAACCGAGUCUUAAUUGGGCGUUAAGUUGCAGGGUAUAGACCCGAAACCCGGUGAUCUAGCCAUGGGCAGGUUGAAGGUUGGGUAACACUAACUGGAGGACCGAACCGACUAAUGUUGAAAAAUUAGCGGAUGACCUGUGGCU
This 288-nucleotide ribosomal RNA is filed under the name Salmonella enterica subsp. enterica serovar Derby. RNAcentral describes it as "partial 23S ribosomal RNA". It matches the Rfam family "Bacterial large subunit ribosomal RNA", at positions 528 to 816 of the family's 2925-position model. Lineage: Bacteria; Pseudomonadati; Pseudomonadota; Gammaproteobacteria; Enterobacterales; Enterobacteriaceae. The record is from RNAcentral.